UACGUAGGGUGCGAGCGUUGUCCGGAAUUAUUGGGCGUAAAGGGCUCGUAGGUGGUUUGUCGCGUUGUUCGUGAAAACCGGGGGCUUAACCCUCGGCGUGCGGGCGAUACGGGCAGACUUGAGUACUGCAGGGGAGACUGGAAUUCCUGGUGUAGCGGUGGAAUGCGCAGAUAUCAGGAGGAACACCGGUGGCGAAGGCGGGUCUCUGGGCAGUAACUGACGCUGAGGAGCGAAAGCGUGGGGAGCGAACAGG
RNAcentral lists this ribosomal RNA (253 nucleotides) under uncultured bacterium. RNAcentral's name for it is "partial 16S ribosomal RNA". It matches the Rfam family "Bacterial small subunit ribosomal RNA", at positions 524 to 776 of the family's 1533-position model. The record is from RNAcentral.